AGGGAUCAUUACCGAGUUUACAACUCCCAAACCCCUGUGAACAUACCUAUACGUUGCCUCGGCGGAUCAGCCCGCGCCCCGUAAAACGGGACGGCCCGCCCGAGGACCCCUAAACUCUGUUUUUAGUGGAACUUCUGAGUAAAACAAACAAAUAAAUCAAAACUUUCAACAACGGAUCUCUUGGUUCUGGCAUCGAUGAAGAACGCAGCAAAAUGCGAUAAGUAAUGUGAAUUGCAGAAUUCAGUGAAUCAUCGAAUCUUUGAACGCACAUUGCGCCCGCCAGUAUUCUGGCGGGCAUGCCUGUUCGAGCGUCAUUUCAACCCUCAAGCUCAGCUUGGUGUUGGGACUCGCGGUAACCCGCGUUCCCCAAAUCGAUUGGCGGUCACGUCGAGCUUCCAUAGCGUAGUAAUCAUACACCUCGUUACUGGUAAUCGUCGCGGCCACGCCGUUAAACCCCAACUUCUGAAUGUUGACCUCGGAUCAGGUAGGAAUACCCGCUGAACUUAAGCAU
This 511-nucleotide ribosomal RNA is filed under the name Fusarium sp. ZL-2014. RNAcentral's name for it is "eukaryotic LSU rRNA". The stretch from base 161 to 314 matches the Rfam family "5.8S ribosomal RNA". Lineage: Eukaryota; Fungi; Ascomycota; Sordariomycetes; Hypocreales; Nectriaceae. The record is from RNAcentral.